Molecule: RNA transcript, 17097 nt
Organism: Hypanus sabinus (Atlantic stingray)
Lineage: Eukaryota; Metazoa; Chordata; Chondrichthyes; Myliobatiformes; Dasyatidae
Gene: stard3nl
Gene name: STARD3 N-terminal like
Exons: 9
Source: RefSeq, a predicted model, not a curated record
UUAUUUCCACCCCCAGUGCCACACGGCUCUCAAAUUCCGCGGAACCAGAAUCGAAUCAUGUGCUCCGCUCGGUUCGUCAGCAAUCCCUUCCCCCGAGCAGUAGUUCCGCUGCGUUCAACCCUCCGUCGGGCGUUCAGCUUGUGGUGAUGGUGAAUGGGUGAAUGAUCGGUGGCAGGCCUUUGCAAUAUGAGCAGAUUGCCCACUGGCCAGGAAAAUGCUGGAGUCAAUCGUUUUGGUCACAGUGCCUCCCUCAGUACUGUGCAGUCCAACACUGCGUCCCAAGUUGCGGCUAGGUUAGACCCAUACAAAUCUAGUAAUCGGCUCAUUUCUGAUGUCAGGAGGACUUUCUGUUUAUUUGUUACAUUUGACCUUUUAUUUGUUGGUUUGCUGUGGAUAAUCGAAUUGAAUGUAGAUGGUGGCAUAAUUUGUAGUUUAAACAAUGAGGUCAUUCACUAUGAUUUCCACAGUUCUUACUUUGAUAUUUUUUUGCUGGCAGUGUUCCGAUUCCUUAUGUUAGUUUUUGCGUACGCCCUCUGCAGGUUACAACACUGGUGGGUAAUUGCGAUUACAACAGCCGUUACCAGUGCCUUUCUAAUUGCAAAGGUUAUCAUUUCUAAGCUUUUGGUAAAAGGAUCAGCCUUUGCCUAUUUGCUGCCAAUAAUCUCCUUCAUACUUGCCUGGAUUGAGACCUGGUUCCUGGAUUUUAAAGUUUUGCCACAAGAGGCAAAGGAUGAAAACAGAGUCUUUACUGUAUCUGAUGUAUCAGAACAUGCACCUCUCAUCCUACCUGGCCCCCUCUCAGAUGGCCAGUUUUAUUCUCCGCCGGAAUCUGUUGUGGAUUCUGAAGAAGGAAAUGAUACCGAGUAUCCAGCACAUUAGCAGGUGUGGAAAAUGGUGCAUCAGUUGACUCCUGUUUGUUUUGCUCAACUUCUAGCCCCAGGUGGAUGAAGUUCAGUCUGAAGUAAAUAUUGGAACUCUUUGAAAUAGCAGAGCUUUGAGAUUUGCCUGAGACUUGAAUUAUUCUUGGGUAUGACUGUGUUUAGCCAAUAGCAAGACUUGAUUCACUGUGCUCAAGAACCCUUCAACUGUUGGGAGUUCAUCGCUAUACUGCCUUCUGCCAUCUUGGAAAAGAGUUCUUUAUCCUCCCUUUACUAAACCAAUGCUCUAAUCAUGCAAUCCUGCAAGAUUAUUUUUAAAAAUAUAUAAUUUUGGUUUGGAAUCAAUUACUUCAUGAUUAAUAAUUCUAUUUAAAAUAACAUUCAAGGUUUACUGAAGGGUGUGAUUAGAUUACCUGCCUAAUAUAUUUGGGUCUGUUCAUUUUAAGCAUUAUGUUGCACAAUGAUUCUUGAUUAUUUUUGUUUGGUCUUUCAUUAUUUUAAAUGAAAUUGGCCAAACACAGUUAAUGAUAAAAUGUUCUGAACUGUUUUCAGACUUUGCCUUAUUUGUAAAGGUAAGUAUGAAAGGGAGAACUGCAUGAGUGCACUGCUGCAUGUUUUUGUCACCCAUGUUCCCAGUGUCACUGCAUGUCAUCACUUUCUUCAGAAUUAAGGAAGCUUUCUAAAAAUUAUUUGUAUUUCUUAACAAUAGUAACAUGUCCUGUACGGCAGCUUGUAACAAGACUCAGCGGCAGCACUCUCUGCUGAGCACUCAGUGACCCAGCUCCCUCUGUGAUUAGGGCUGUACAAAAUUCCCAUCUUUGGUCUAGGAUAUUUCAUGCUUUGUAAUAGUUGAAAUGAAAGUUUAAAAAACAGCAUUUUAUUUGCUUGCAGUCAAAUAGACUCUCUGAUAAAGAACAUUGUACCUGGCAAAGCUCCAGCAGUUCCUAGCUCAUCACUAAUUCCUGCAGCUGUGGAAAAUAUUCAGAUUUUGCAAUGAUAUUGUACCAAGAUUGUCUGACCACUACCCCUAGGAAGACACCUGUCUCUUUUAACCUCCCUUGCAUCAGUAAAGCAACAUGUCUUCUGACCCUGCCCUAAGGAAGCUUCCAUGCCCUUUGAACUGCAUAUAGAUGGGCUAGCCAGCUCUCUUCCUCCUCUUGUACAACAUGCCUCCAGCAUUGAGGUCUUUUAUGUUCUUAAUCACUACUCAGUAAUCACUGCCUGGGAAGGAAUCAAAUAUGUGCUUUACUGGGCCAUCAGAUUCUGGCUUCUCAAAACUCUGAGACAGCUGAAAGUUUGAUUAUAAAUGAGAAUAGGUAAGGAUGCAUCUUCUUUUCCCAGGGCAACAGGAGGCAAUGUGAGUUAAUUAGUAGCGUUCCUUUUUAACAGGUGAUUUCUUUGUCCACAGAAUGAGAGCAGUGUUGCAGGAUGGUGGGCAGAGAACAUACUGCAUUUAAAGGGUACUUUUGUUAAUUAUUCUCAGUUUUGCACAGAAUACUAAUGUAAUAACUUUGAUUUGAAGUGAUGAUCAUAAUUUGGCUUUAUUAAUAUAGUUUGAUGUUUUAAGUAAAGCUCUGGUGCAAUUAUGUACACCUGUUCAAAUAAGUUUUGCAAAUCAGUUAUUUAAUGUUAAUCGAUUCAGUGACAUAUUGGAGUACUGCAGUUCAUGCACUGAUACUAAAUUACUUAGUGGCUAUUCCCAAAGCUUUGCAUUUUCAUCAUAUUUCAUAUGUGAUAUCCAAUUUUAAUUGCAAUUGAGAACUGUGUUUUUAUAUUUAAAUCAAAUUAUUGGAAUUUCUAAUUGUUUUAUCUAAAACACCUUCAAGAGCAGGCUCUUUGUUCAAAAUGAUUGAAUAAUUAUCUGUUCAAUUUAUCAGCUGAUGUGUUUUUUCUGUCUGCAACCUUGCACUAUUUGUAUUCUGAUCAUAUUUUAAGGUAAAAUUUGAACUGAAUUAAUAUUCCUAAUGUUUGUUUCUGUGUAUAUCUAACAGUGGAUCAUAGCCCAGUGAUUUUUUUUGUAUCUCUAUCUAUUGAGCUUCUUCCCUGUGAGCAGUCUUUCAAAAAGACAUCUUACUGUGGGAAUAAGAUUGAAUAGUGAUGAAAUGGAAGAAAAGUGGUCCUGCUUCUUAGUGAUGCUAGGUCUAAUUCUACACAAAAAAGAAUUGUGUUUCUUCUGUGCUCAAUGUCAGCAGUUUGACCACUUUAUGAUUAGUUAACAAAUAAUUGUUUGAAUAACAAAUGCAAAGGUGUGCAAAAAAGUUCUGCAUGUAAUAUCUAUCUCCAGUCAUGGCUUGUUUUAUUAAUGUAAUAAAUGCUUUAUCUUUUCAUUAAUAUUUACUUCAGAAAAUGUAAUUAAAAUGGGAAAUAUUUUAGGAAUGUCCACUCAGUGCUUGGCUUAAAGUUUCUGCAACUUACAUCAUAACAUUUUGACUAUAUACUCUAGCUGUGAUUAGUGAUCCAUUCUCUAAUAUGCAAGCUCAGAAAAUUAAUUCUGUUGCCCUUUAACCAACUACCUAUCUUGACCUGUGGAUUUGUUUGUUCAUUACUGCUUGUCUUCACAGUUGUGUAAAUUCUUCAAAGCAUCCAAGUAUUACCACUGAUCAAAAAAUAGAGACUUAGGCUGAGCCAGGUGCUAACUGAACUAACACAAGGUACAAGCCUACUUAAUUUAAUUUGGCUCUUAUAGAUGCAUGUUUCCAAUACAGCAUUGGUAGUAACAAAGAAAAUUUCCCACCUUCACACACAGGCCUCUGUUGUGUUGCACUGUAACUGCUGAAUAGGAUUGUUCAGAAUAGUUCUAGAAGGCAACUUCUAAAGAAUAAUUAUCUAUUCUGGAAUAAUCUGAAUGUCAUACUCUGGCAUAUUCCUUCACCUCUGUCAUAUGACUGCCAAAUGUCAAACCACAGCACAUAAACAAGCCAUUUAGCCCAUUAUGCCCAUAAAUCUAUCAUAUUGUGAUUACUGUGUCCUAAAAUUUCCUUUACCUUAAGCUCUAUAAUUGAAUAUGGUUUAUCAUAGAGUUACAGAGCACUACAACAGAGAAACAGACCUCUGGCCCGUCUAAUCUGUGCCAAACUAGUACUAUGCCUAGUACCAUGGACUUACAUCUGAACCAAAGCCCUCUAUCCCCCCUCCCAUCCAUGUAUUUAUCCAAACCAUCCAGAUGCUGAAACUAAACCUGCAUCCAUCACUUCCACUGGCAGCUGUUUCCACACACACACCACCCUCUGAGUGAAGAAGUUUCUUGUCACGUUCCCCUUAAACAUUUUAUCUUUCAUCCUUAACCCAUGGCCUUUAGUUCUACACUCACCCAAACUCAGUGGAAAAAGACUGCUUGCAUUACCCUGUCUAUAUACCCAAACUUUUAUAUUUCUCUAUCAAAUUUCCCCUCAUUCUCCUAUGCUCCAGGGAAUAAAGUCUUAACCCAUUCAACCUUGCCCUAUAACUCAGGUCAAGUCCUGACAACAACCUUGCAAAUUUUUUCUGCGCUCUUUCAAUGUUAUUGUUAUCUUUCAUGUAGGUAGGUGACCGGAACUGCACACAGUACUCCAAAUGUCUUAUACAACUUCAACAUAACAUCCCAAUAUGCUAAAAGCUCUCUUUACAACCCUAUCUAUUCAAGGAAUUAUGAAUCUCUAUUCCCAGAUCCCUCUGUUUUACCAUGCUUUUCAGUGUAAGUCCUAUCCACUGUUCAUCUUCCCAAAAUACAACACCUUACACUUGUUUGCAACACCCACCCAAUCCAGAAUUGCCCUUAGUGGGCUCAACUGCAAGCUGCUCUAUAAAGCUAUUUCAUAUGUAUUCUACAUAUUUCUUUCUGGAUCAAUCACCAACCUGAUUUUCCCAAUUCACCUGCAUAUUGAAUUGCAUGGUAAUUAUCAUUACUUUGACUAUUGUAACUUAGGUAUGAUCACAGUCUAAAUCCUUGCUGUAUGACUCUGACUCUAAAUGUACUUGCUAUUCAUGGAAGAAGGAUACCAAUUCUGAAGUAAAUGAAUAGAUUAAAGAUGGACGUGACUUGUUUACUCGUGGUAGCUUUGGUAGCUAAGCUAAGAGCUAGAGAUUAAAGUUUAUGAUUAAAUUAAUAUGAUUUCCUGUUUAGUCAGCUAUGGAGACUGUUAAUCAGGUAUCUGUUUUUGUGCAAAGGAAGUGGCGCGCCGUGGUAUGAAAAAGCUAAAAUAACCAUUUGCCAUUCUGCACGAUAAUUGAAACCUCUCAGUUGUACAUGGUAUUUCUGAACACGUGCACAACAUGUAAUAUUUUCUUUUUCAGUAUCUAUCCGACUUCCCUUUCAACGUUAUUAUUGAAUUGUUCCCAUUUGAUUCAAGUACUGCACUCCUCAUCAAAACUCAUUAUUCAAAAGUGAAGCCCUCUUCACUUGCCCUGUUUGCCAAAAAUACAAAAACAUUGAUAGAAAUAUUACGCAAUUUGCUGUUUGAACAUGCUCUAAAAUUCAUAGACCACGACUGACGUGUCUCAAUUUUCUCAUCUAUAUUGUCCAAUUCCCCCCAAUGUCCGAAAAUUCAGCGAAGCCCUGCCUGACUGUACAAAAUAAUUGAACAUUCAUAGCACUCAAGAGGAUUUCAAAACUAAUUAUAGUACUCUGUAAAGAAAAAUCCCUCUUCCGCUAAACCCUAAAGGUCUCAAACCUUUUCUGAGAUUCCAAUUUGGAUAUAACGAAGCUGAGUCCAGCCUAAGGACUCCAUGAUUUCAUCCCUACCCUCCCUUAAAAAAUUCUUGUGUCUCAGUGAGAUCACCUCCAGUGUCUUUUCGUCAGUCAUAACCACUGCUUGUAGAACCUCUGCUUCCUGUGCAAAUUCUAUGCAGAAAGCCUAUAUUGCACUGAAUUCAAACACAUCCUUUCUGAAUAGUGACCCAAGCUAUUUAAAGUAAUAGCUCACCAGUGCUAAAUAUUGCUGGCCAGUGGUGUACAGGCAUUAGAACCGGAAAUCGAGGCAAAUGGUUACGGGUUCGAAUCCAGCAAAACUGAAUGUUGAGCUAGCAACUCGGCCUCAUAAAAAAAGUCAAAAGCGAAGGAAACGGCAACAAAUGUCACACGAUGCGCCCCAAGGCACGAAAAGGAAAAACAACAGGAGCCAAAUAAUCCUAAUUCUUCAGCUUUCACCGACAUUUAUAGCUUUGAGCAUCCUAAUUAUAUCGUCUUUUGAAUGAGAGCAGCAUCUCUAGGUUCUGCAUUUUUUUCUUUGUUAACUUCAUUGGUAGUGUUGCUGUAAUCCUCAGCUACAAUCUUUCUAUGGCCUUGAGAUUGAUCAUAGACUGCAGUGCCCAGACUGGAGACGAUACUCCUAGUGAGAUCAAACCAGGUUUUUUUUGGUAAAAUUUUAACAUAAUAAGACUAUAAGCGAUGGGACCAGAAUUAGGCCAUUCAGCCCAUUGAGUUUGCUUCACUAAAUAAUAUUUUAGCUAACGUGAGAUGCGCAGCUCAGCAACUGGCUAUGCACCAAAACCAGUCCUUACCCCAGUGUUUCUGCUCCACAUGACCCUCCUCUCAGUUCUUCUCAACUAAAUCUAUCAGAGGAACCCAUUAUUCUCUCUCAUAUCUUAUCCCUUCUGAAGCAUUGUGGGUAAAUUCACUUACUGAAUUGAUUCCACAGCCUGUGGACUCAAGGACUCUAAAACUCGUAGAACCUCAGAACAUUACAGCACAGAAACAGGCCCUUCAGCCCUUAGCUGUGCCAAACUAUUUUUCUGCCCAGUCCCACUGACCUGCAGCCGGACCAUAUCCCUCCAUACCCCUCUCAUCCAUGUAUCUGUCCACAUUUUUCUUAAAUGAUAAAAGUGAGCCCGCAUUUACCACUUCAUCUGGCAGCUCAUUCCACACUCCCAUCGCUCUCUGUGUGAAGAAGCCCCCCCCCAAUGUUCCGUUUAAACUUUUCCCCCUUCACCCUUAACCCAUUUCCUCUGGUUUUUUUCUCCCUUACCCUCAGUGGAAAAAGCCUGCUUGCAUUCACUCUAUCUAUACCCAUCAUAAUUUAUUAUACCUCUAUCAAAUCUCCCCUCAUUCUUCUACGCUCCAGGGAAUAAAGUCCUAACCUAUUCAACCUUUCUCUGUAACUCAGUUUCUCAAAUCCUGGCAACAUCCUUGUAAACCUUCUCUGCACUCAUUAAUAUCCUUCCUGUAAGUAGGUGACCAAAACUGCUCACAAUACUCCAAAUUCGGCCUCACCAAUGCCUUGUACAACCUCACCAUGACAUUCCAACUCAUACUCAAUACUUUGAUUUAUAAAAGCUCUCUUUAUGACCCUAUCUACCUGUGACACCACUUUUAGGGAAUUAUGUAUCUGUAUUCCCAGAUCCCUCUGUUCUACUGUACACCUCGGUGUCCUACCAUUAAUCUUGUAUAUUCUACGUUGGUUUGUCCUUCCAAUGUGCAAUACCUCAUGCUUGUCUGCAUUAAACUCCAUCUGCCAUUUUUCCAGCUGGUCCAAAUCCAUCUGUAAGCUUUGAAAACCUUCCUCACUGUCCACUACACCUCCAAUCUUUGUAUCAUCAGCAAAUUUGCUGAUCCAAUUUACCACAUUAUCAUCCAGAUCAUUGAUAUAGAUGACAAAUAACAAUGGACCCAGCACUGAUCCCUGUGGCACACCACUAGUCACAAGCCUCCACUCAGAGAAGCAAUCCUCCACUACCACUCUCUGGCUUCUCCAACUGAGCCAAUGUCUAAUCCAAUUCACUACCUGCCCAUGUAUACCUAGCGACUGAAUCUUCCUAACUAACCUCCCAUGUGGGACUUUGUCUAUGUAGACAACAUCCGCUGCCUUCCCUUCAUCCACUUUCCUGGUAACCUUCUCGAAAAUCUCUAAUAGAUUGGUUAAACAUGACCUACCAUGCACAAACUCCGUAUGCAGUAUGUGGGAGGUCAGGGUCAACACAGUUGUCCCUGAUGACCACACCUGCAAAAGCAGCAUCCAGCUGCAGCUCCUAUCAGACCGAAUUAGGGAAUUGGAGCAGGAGCUGGAUGAACUACGGAUCAUUCAGGAGGCAGAGGCAGAGAUAGAUAAAAGUUAUCGGGAGGUAGUCGCACCGAAAAGUCAGGAGGUAGGCAAAUGGGUGACAGUCAAGAGAGACAGAGGGAGCAGACAGAGACAGCAGAGCACCUCUGUGGCCGUUCCCAUCAACAGUAAGUAUACCGUUUUGGAUACUGUUGGUGGGGAUGACCUACCAGGAAUAAGUUGCAGUGGUCCUGUCUCUGGCACUGAGGUUGGACCCUCGACUAGGAAGGGGAGGAGGGAAGAGAAGAGAGCGGUAGUGAUAGGGAUUCUAUAGUCGGGGGGCGGAUAGGAGAUUUUGUGGGGAACAUCGGGAGUCUCGGAUGGUAUGUUGCCUCCCUGGUGCCGGGGUCCGGGACAUCUCAGAUCGGGUGCAGGUUAUUCUCGAGAGGGAGGGCAAGAACCCAGAUGUUGUGGUCCAUGUAGGGACCAAUGACGUGGGUAGGAUGAGUGAGGGGAUCCUGCGUAGUGAGUUCAGGGAGUUAGGUGCGAAACUGAAGGGUAGGACCUCCAGGGCAACAAUCUCAGGAUUGCUACCUGUGCCACGUGCGAGUGAGGCAAGGAACAGAAGGAUUGUACAGAUUAAUACGUGGCUGAGAGGAUGGUGCAGGAGGGAAGGCUUCAGGUUUUUAGAUAAUUGGGCUUUGUUCCAGGGAAGGUGGGAUCUGUUCCGAGUGGACGGUUUACACCUGAACUGGAGCGGUACUAACAUUCUUGCAGGAAAGUUUGCUAGUGCUUCUCGGGGGGGGGGGGUUAAACUAAAUUUGCAGGGGGCAGGGAUCCAGAAUGCGAGAGAGGAUAGCGAAAUGAAGAAUAAAGGACAGGUGGGGACUACACGGUUCUGGAAUAUUAAGUGUGUAGUAGAGAAAGGAGAGGCGGAACAAGCGAUAAGGAGGACGCAUGUACAGAGGGAUGGUCUGACGGAACAUGGAAUAAAGGUACUGAAAGAAUAAGUAAAUUUAGAAAGGACAACAAAAUUCAAGGGGCGUAUAGCCCGAUGGGAGUUCGGGGAGCUGGAUUAAGCACAAUAGGCAGCGAUUUAAACAGAGAGAGGAGAAAUUGGCUAAAAAUUCUAUAUCUGAAUGCACGAAGUGUCAGAAAUAAGGCGGAUGAGCUUGAAACUCAGGUGCGAAUGGGUAACUAUGAUGUUGUUGGGAUAACGGAGACAUGGCUGCAGGGAGGUCAGACCUGGGAAAUGAAUGUACAAGCGUAUACAUGCUAUCGUAGGGACAAAAAUGUGGGCAGAGGGGGUGGGGUGGCCCUGUUGGUGAGGAAUGAGAUUCAGUCCUUUGCAAGGGGGGACAUAGGAUCAAGAGAAGUAGAGUCUGUGUGGAUAGAACUGAGACCCUAAUGGGUGUUUUCUACAGGCCACCAAACAGUAGCAUGGAUAUUGGGUGCAAGUUGAAUAGGGAGUUAACAUUGGCAUGUGGCAAAGGUAAUGUCGCAGUAGUUAUGGGGGAUUUCAACAUGCAGGUGAACUGGGAGUAUCAGGUUGGUGCUGGACCCCAGGAUAGGGAGUUUGUAGAGUGCCUACGGGACGCAUUCUUGGAACAGCUUGUACGAGAGCCGACCAGGGACAAGACUAUUCUGGAUUUAGUCUUGUGUAAUGAACAGGAUUUGAUAAGCGAUCUUGAAGUAAAGGAGCCAUUAGGAGGUAGUGACCAUAAUAUGAUAAGUUUUUAUCUGCAAGUUAAGAAGGAUAAGGGCAGAUUGGAGGUGUCAGUGUUGCAGUUGAAUUGGGGAAACUAUGGAGCCAUGAGGGAGGAGCUGGCCAAAGUUAACUGGAUGGAUAUCCUAGCAGAAAAGACAGUGGAACAGCAAUGGCAGGUAUUCUUGGGAAUAAUGCACAAGGUGCAAAAUCAGUUCAUCCCCCGGAGAAGGAAGGAUUCAAAGGGGGGAAAGGGGCCACAGUAGUUGACAAAGGAAGUCAGAGAUUGCAUAGCAUUAAAUAAAAAGGAAAUAUGACAGAGCUAAGGUGAGUGGGAGGACAGAUAAUUGGGAAAUUUUUAAGGAACAACAGAAGUUAACUAAAAAGGCAAUACGGGGAGAAAAAAUGAGGUACGAAUGCAGACUAGCCAGGAAUAUAAAGGAGGAUAGCAAAAACUUUUUUAGGUAUGUGAAGAGAAAGAAGAUAGUUAAGAACAAUGAUGGGCCCUUGAAGAAUGAAUUGGGUGAAAUUGUUAUGGGAAACAGAGAAAUGGCAGAAGAAUUUAAUAAGUACUUUAGAUCUGUCCUCACUAGGGAAGACACAAGCAAUCUCCCAGAUGUAUGGAUGGGCCAAGGACAUAGGGUAACAGAGGAAAUGAAACAGAUUGACAUUAGGAAGGAAACGGCGAUGAGUAGACUGAUGGGACUGAAGGCUGACAAAUCCCCAGAUCCAGAUGGUCUGCAUCCUAGGGUACUAAAGGAGGUGGCCCUGGAAAUUGCGGAUGCAUUGGUAAUCAUUUUCCAAUGUUCCUUAGAUUCAGGAUCAGUUCCUGAGGAUUGGAGAAUGACUGAUGUUAUCCCACUUUUUAAGAAAGGAGGGAGGGAGAAAACAGAGAACUAUCAUCCUGUCAGCCUAACAUCAGUAGUGGGGAAGAUGCUGGAUUCCAUUAUUAAAGAUGAAAUAGUGGUAUAUCUAGAUAGCAGUGAUAGGAUUGGGCCGAGCCAACAUGGAUUUACCAAGGGCAAAUCAUGCUUGACUAAUCUAUUGGAGUUUUUCGAGGAUGUAACCAGGAAGUUAGACAAGGGAAAUUCAGUGGAUGUAGUGUACCUCGAUUUUCAGAAGGCAUUUGAUAAGGUCCCACAUAGGAGAUUGGUGGGUAAAAUCAGAGCUCAUGGCAUCGGGGGGAAGACAUUGACAUGGAUAGAAAACUGGUUGGCAGAUAGAAAGCAAAGGGUAGCGGUGAAUGGGUGUUUCUCUGAAUGGCAGGUUGUGACUAGUGGGGUGCCACAGGGCUCGGUAUUGGGACCACAGAUGUUUACGAUUUAUAUCAAUGAUUUAGACGAAGGCAUUGAGAAUAACAUCAGUAAGUUUGCUGAUGAUACUAAGCUGGGUGGCAGUGUGACAUGUGAUGAGGAUGUUAGGAGAAUUCAGGGUGACUUGGAUAGGCUGGGUGAGUGGGCAGAUACUUGGCAGAUGACGUUUAAUGUGAAUAAGUGUGAGGUUAUCCACUUUGGGAGUAAGAACAGGAAGGCAGAUUAUUAUCUGAACGGUGUAGAGUUAGGUAAGGGAGAAAUACAAAGAUAUCUUGUUCAUCAGUCACUGAAGGUGAAUGAGCAAGUGCAGCAGGCAUUGAAGAAGGUUAAUGGAAUGUUGGCCUUUAUUACAAAGGGAAUUGAGUACAAGAGCAAGGAAAUUCUUUUGCAUUUGUACAGGGCCCCGGUGAGACCACACGUGGAGUAUUGUGUACAGUUUUGGUCUCCAGUGUUAAGGAAGGACACCCGGGCUGUAGAGGAAGUGCAGCGUAGAUUCACAGGGUAAAUUCCUGGGAAGACCGGACUGUCUUACGCAGGGAGGUUAGAGAGACUGGGUAUGUACAUGCUGGAAUUAAGGAGAUUGAGAGGGAAUCUGAUUGCAACAUAUAAGAUUAUUAAGGGAUUGUACAAAAUAGAGGCAGGAAAUAUGUUUCAGAUGCUGGGAGAGUCCAGUACCAGAGGGCAUGGUUUAAGAAUAAGGGGUAGGUCAUUUAGGACAGAGUUAAGGAAAAACUUUUUCUCCCAGAGAGUUGUGGGGGUGUGGAAUGCAUUGCCUCAGAAGGCAGUUCUCUGGAUGCUUUCAAGAAGGAGCUGGGUAGGUAUCUUAUGGAUAGGGGAAUCAAGGGAUAUGGGGACAAGACAGGAACCGGGUAUUGAUAGUGGAUGAUCAGCCAUGAUCUCAGAAUGGCGCUGCAGGCUCGAAGGGCCGAAUGGUCUACUUCUGCACCUAUUGUCUAUUGUCAAAGCCAGUUCACUCUCCCUAAUAAAUCCCUGUCUAUCCAAAUACUUGUAGAUCCCAUCUCUUAGUACUCCUUCCGAUAAUUUACCUACUACCAACGUCAAACUUACCGGCCUAUAAUUUCCCAAAUUAUUUUUAGAGCCUGUUUUAAACAACAGAGCAACAUGAGCUAUCCUCUAAUCCUCUGGCACCUCAUGCGUAGAUACCGGCAUUUUAAAUAUAUCUGCCAGGGCCCCUGCAAUUUCAACACUAGUCUGCUUCAAGGUCCGAGGGAAUACCCUUUCAGCUCCUGGGUAUUUAUCUACUCUGAUUUGCCUCAAGACAGCAAGCACUUCCUCCUCUUCAAACCAUAAAGUUUCCAUAACCUUACUACUUGUUUGCCUUAUUUCCAUAGACUCCAUGCCAGUUUCCUUAGUAAAUACAGAUGCAAAAAAACCCAUUUAAGAUUUCCCCCAUUUCUUUUGGUUCCAUAAAUAGCCGACCACUCUGAUCUUGAAGAGGACCAACUUAAUCCCUUACUAUCCUUUUGCUCUUAAUAUACUUGUAGAAGCUCUUUGGAUUAUCCUUCACCUUGACUGUCAAAGCUACCUCAUGUCUUCUUUUAGCCCUCCUGAUUUCUUUCUUAAGUAUUUUUUGCACUUUUUAUACUCCUCAAGCACCUUAUUUUCUCCAUGUUGCCUAUAUAUGUUGUAUAUCUCUCUCUUCUUCUUUAUCAGAGUUCCAAUAUCCCUUGAGAACCAAGGUUCCUUAUUCUUAUUCACUUUGCCUUUAAUCCUGACAGGAAGAUACAAACUCUGCACCAUGAAAAUUUCUUCUUCUUUGAAGACCUCCCACUUACCAAUCACAUCCUUGCCAGAGAACAACCUGUCUCAAUCCAUGCUUUUUAGAUCCUUUCUCAUUUCUUCAAAUUUGGUCUUUUUCCAGUUUAGAGCCUUAACCCGAGGUCCAGAUCUAUCUUUAUCCAUGAUCUAGGCAUAGUCUCAGUAUACUUUUUUCUUGUUUAUUAUUAUUUCUUUUUCUUGGCUCAAGCUGGUAAAACCUGAGGUACGGGCAUAGCCAAGUACACUCACUUCUCAAUUGCUAGGAACUUACAGACUAUUGUUGGAUGUAACAAAACACACUGAUGAAGUUAGAGCAGUGGAUGCAGUGUAUAUGGAUAUUAGUAAGGCAUAUGAUGAGGUUUCCUAUGUGAGGUUCAUUCAGAAAGUAAGGAGGCAUGGGAUGCAAGGAGACCUUGCUUUGUGGAUCCAGAAUUGACUUAACCACAGAAGGCAAAGGGUGGUUGUGGUUGGUUCGUAUUCUGCAUGGAGGGUGGUGAUCAGUGGUGUUCUGCAGGGAUCUGUUCAGGGACCCUUUCUCGUUGUGAGUUUUAUAAAUGAUCUGGAUAAGGAAGAAGAAGGGUGAGUUAGUAAGUUUUCCGAUGAUACAAAAGUUUGGGGGUGUUAUGGGUAGCCUAGAGGGUUGUCAGAAGUUACAGCAGGGCAUUGAUACGAUGUAGAACUGGACUGAGAAGUGGCAGCUAAAUGUGAAAUGGUUCAUUUUGGUAGGUCAAAUUUGAAGACAAAAUAUAAUACUAACAGUAAGACUCUUAGCAGUCUGGAGGAUCAGCGAGAUUUUGGGGUCCAUGUCCACAGAACAGCCAAAGCUGCUGCUAUGUUCUGUGUUCUAUUCUAGUGGCGUGCUAUCGUGGAGUACCUUUAGGAUGAUUACAGUUGUAGAUAUUAAUAUCGGGACAGUAUAUACCCUGUUCAAAGAACAUAGAUAUCAACAGCACGUUACAGGCCCUUCGGCUCACAAUGUUGUGCUGACCAUGUAAACUACUCUAGAAACUUACUAGUUUUUCCCUACCGCAGAGCCCUCUAUUUUUCUAAGCUUCAUGUACUUGUCUAAGAGUCUCUUAAAAGACCCUAUUGUAUCCGCCUCUACCACUGACACUGGCAGUGCAUUGCACGCACCUACCACUCUCUGUGUGAAAAACUUACCUCUGACUUAACCCUUGUACUUAUUUCCAAGCACCUUAAAACUAUAGCCCCUCGUGUUGGCCACUUCAGCCCAGUGAAAAAGCCUCUGGCUAUCCACACGAUCAAUGCCUCAACUGACAUAAUAGUGCCUCUCCCGCCAUCCUAGAUGAUCAAUGCCAGACCAGUGGGAACGCAGCCUGUGAAGCCACAUCAAGUGCACCAUGAAGCUUUAAUUAUCAGUAUUGGUAUUGGUUUAUUAUUGCCAAAUGUAUCAAGAUGCUUGCUUGCAUAUUAUUUAUAAGGAUCAAAUCAUUACACGGAGCAUUGAGCCAGAAUAAAGUAAAUCAAUAACAAUGCAGAAUAAACCAUACACGCUACCAAAACAAUGCAGUACAGGAGCAAGACUAUAACAAGGUAGAGCCAUCUUAUCGUACAAGAGAUCUGCUCAAGAGCCCAUUAACAGUGAGAUAGAAGCAGUCCUUGAGCUGGCAGUACAUGCUUUCAGGUUUGUGUACCUUCUACCUGAUGGGAGGAGUAAAAGAGGGAACAUCUGGCGUGGUUGGCGUCUUUGAUUAUGCUGGCUGCUUUACUGAGGCAGUAGGGAGUAUCGACAGAGUCCAUAUAGGGGAGGGUUUUCGUGAUGUGCUGUGCAGUGUCCACAACUUUAUGAUUUCUUGUGGUCACAUGCAGAGCAGCUGCCAUAUCAGGUCAUCAUGCAAUCAGACAAAAUGCUUUCUACUGUGCAUCGAAAAAUAUGGGGAAAAGCAAUGGAGACAUACCAAAUUUCUUCGGCCUUUCAAGGAAGCAGUGGCAUUGAUGAGCUUCCUUAGCCAUGACAUUAAUGUAAUGGGACCAGGACGGGAUGUUGAUGAUAUUCACGCUUGAGAAACUGAAGCUCCCUGUCCUCUCAUCCUCAACACCAUUGAUGCAGACAGGAGCAUGUGCAUCCCCCACCUCCUGAAGUCAAUGACCAGUUAUUUUGUUUUGCUGGCAUUGAGGUAGUUGUCAUAAUAACCUGUCACUAAACUCUCUGCCUCCUUCCUGUAUUUCAACUCAUCAUUAUUUGAGAUGAGGCCCACUACAGUGGUGUCAACUGCAAACUUGUAGAUGGAGUUAGAGCAGAAUCUGACCUCACAGUCAUGAGGGUAAAGUAGGGGGCUUUUUUGUGGAGUUUCAGUGUUUAGAAUAAUCGUGGCAGAUGUGUUGCUGCCUAUCCUUAGUGAUUGUGGUCUGUUGGUCACAAAGUCAAGGAUCUAGUUCCAGAGGGAAGCAUUAACUCCCAGGGUCUGGUGAUUGGUGAUGUGUUUGCUGGGAAUAAUAGUAUUGAAGGCAGAUUUGCAGUCAGAUUUCAUGCAGGUCGGAGGAUGAUGAAUCAUGUACAUCUACUAAUACUUGCUAAACAGUGUUAGGUGUCUGGUCAUCUGUAAACAGAAACCACUGUUCGGUUCAGAGACUGAAUUUUGACCAUUAAGAAUCUACAUUCAAUACACAUUUUAAAGGGAUUUGGGGUUCUAACAUGUAACUGUCAUUCAUUCUUUGGGGCACUCCUCUGUUUUCGUGGAUGUUUGUGAAGAAAAAGUAUUUCAGGAUGUAUGCUGUAUACAUUUCUCUGACACUAAAUGUACCUAUUGAAACAUGGGGUGAUGCAGAAGCAGCAAAUAGAAAACUUGCUCUGCAUUAUGAUUUCUCAGCUUGGUUAACAUGUUCCACAGUCUUUCAGUUUCCUCUUUUAAUUCAGCAUAUUUCUGGUGUUUUUCAAUGAUUGAUUUCUGUAUAUCAUGUAUGCUUGGAAUGGAAUCUCUAUUUAGAAAGUCACUCUUGCUUGUUAAUCCUGAAUUAUUAUAUCUGUGUGGUUAUAAUGGAUUGUCCUGUCUGUAAUAACAGAUGGGUCACAAUUAAAUUUGUCAGACCCUAACUCUAAAACUGGAUCAAGUUUCUAUUUUUAGUAAGGUCUGGUCUCUUUUGCGAGUUUGUAUUUUAAAACAAGAUUUUGGUAAAUGAUGAUUGCCACUUGAUUGUUCCUGUGAAAGUAACCAGAUUGAGUUAAACUGCUCAUACCGUGGGGAUGUCUUCUACGGAUGGUCAUACUCUUCCAUUGGUUAACUUUUUCUUCAAUAGUGAUAAUUUCUUCAUCUUCUGGGUUGUGCUCUCAUUUUAGUUUAGUGGUGUGUACUUCUUACCAGAGUUGCAAAUUCUCGCGUGGAGUGCUGAAUCCUGAUUUGUUCGUGAAAACUUAUCUUAAAAUUUAUCCUAUCUAACGGUUGUGUAGAUUUUUAAUGUCUAUUGUGUUAUUAUUAUUAUUAUCAUGAUCAUCAUUGUUAUUGUAGUAUUUGCACAGUUUGUCUUUUGCAUAAUUAGCAUACAAGAGGGAGAUUGAAAACUUGGCCGAGUGGUGUAAUAACAACAACCUUUCACUCAUUGUCAAUAAGAAUAAGGAACUGAUUGUAGAUUUCAGGAGAGGGAACCCAAAGGUCCAUGAGCCAGUCCUCAUCCGAGGAUCAGAGGUGGACAGGGUCAGCAACUUUAAAUUACUAUUACCGUUACUAUUUCAGAGGACCUGUCCUGGAUCUAGCACAUGAGUGCAAUUGUGAAGAAAGCAUGGUAGCGCUUGUACUUCCGUAGGAGUUUGUGAAGAAUCGGCAUGACAUCUAAAACUUCAACAAACUCCUUUAGAUGUGUAGUGGAGAGUGUAUUGACUGGCUGCAUCAUGACCUGAUAUGGAAAUACAUAUGCUUUUGAACAGAAAUCCUAGAAAAGGUAAUGGAUUCAGCCUAGUAUAUCACCGGUAAAGCCUUCCCAACUAUUAAGCACAUCACCAUGAAACACUAUCGUAGGAAAGCAGCAUCCAUCAUCAGAAAUCGCUACCGCCCAGGUCAUGCUUUUUUCUCACUGUUGCCACCAGGUAGAAGGUGCAAGAGCCUCAGGACUAGCACCGCCAGGUUAAAAAAAAGUUACUAUCCCUCAACCUUCAGGCUCGUAAACAAAUGGGAAUAACUUCACCCAACUUCACUUGCCCGAGUCAUCAAAAUUUUCGCGCAACUACUUCAACAGAACUCCACUCACUUGCCUAUCCAUUGAGAUGUUCCAACCAAUAAUCUCACUUUCAAGACUCUUUAUCUCAUUAUCUCAUGUUUUUGUUAUUUAUUGCUAUUUAUUUAUAUUUGCAUUUGCACAGUUUGUUUACUCCUGCACUCUGGCUGGCUUUUCAUUGAUCCUGUUAUAGUUUCUAUGCCACAGAUUUGCUGAGUAUGUCCGCAGGAAAACGAGUCUUGGGAUUGUAUAUGAUGAUAUAUGUAUACUUCCGAUAAUAAAAUUGACUUUGAACUUUA